RNAcentral lists this ribosomal RNA (516 nucleotides) under Triticum aestivum (bread wheat). RNAcentral's name for it is "partial small subunit ribosomal RNA". The record is from RNAcentral. Lineage: Eukaryota; Viridiplantae; Streptophyta; Magnoliopsida; Poales; Poaceae.
AUGAGCAGCAUCCCCUAUGCCUCAGCCAUAGGGUCUAUUACGUAUGCCAUGCUGUGUACCAGACCUGAUGUAAGCCUUGCCGUAAGUUUGGUAGGAAAGUACCAAAGUAAUCCCGGCAAGGAACAGUGGACAGCGGUUAAGAAUAUCCUGAAGUACCUGAAGAGGACUAAGGAUAUGUUUCUCGUUUUUGGAGGUGACGAAGAGCUCGUCGUAAAGGGUUACGUCGACGCUAGCUUCAACACAGAUCUGGAUGACUCGAAGUCACAAACCGGAUAUGUGUAUAUUUUGAAUGGUGGGGCAAUAAGCUGGUGCAGUUGCAAGCAAAGCGUCGUGGCGGGAUCUACAUGUGAAGCAGAGUACAUGGCAGCCUCAAAGGCAGCACAUGAAGCAAUCUGGGUGAAGGAGUUCAUCACCGACCUAGGAGUCAUACCCAAUGCGUCGGGGCUGACUUGCCAAGGAGCCCAGGUUUCACAAGAAGACCAGGCACAUCAAGCGUCGCUUCAACUCCAUUCGUGA